Long non-coding RNA from Gallus gallus (chicken), 2408 nucleotides. Lineage: Eukaryota; Metazoa; Chordata; Aves; Galliformes; Phasianidae. The record is from Ensembl.
UUCCUUUAUUACCACAUAAGCCAGAGAUGAAGAUGACCUAUUGGACCAUUCUGUGCAACUUCCUGCAAAUCCAGGAGACUUACGCCUUACAGCUUUAUCAUUAGGUGCUGGAGAGAGAAAGAACCUUUCAGUAUUCAAAAAGCAUUUGUCAUUUAAUAUAUUAUAAUGCCAAAAAGCCAAGAAUUUAUCUCAGUUAUUCAAAUCCACACGUCAAAUUAACAUCCAUUUAAACUAAAAUUAGCUAUGUUUUCUCUUACAAAGAACUUGAAGCACAAGAAAUGCUCUUAUGAGAGCUCCUAUUCCCUUCUUCCUUCACAGGAGAGCAGAACAGCAUUCCUCUGGUAAGGGUGCUGUCAGCAUAACACAGUGGCUGAGAUACUUCAGACCUUUCACACUGUGGCACAGAAGAGACCAGGGUUAACCCAGAGAAAAGGAUGUACCAGUACAGUUUUAGGCUGUUGAUAGCGCCCCAAAAAGUACUUCCUCCAUGUGGCACUUCAGUGUCACUUAGUUGGGGAGCACUGAUGGAGCCUCUUACUAUCUUCUCCAUCCAACUCUCCCUAGACUAACCCAGCCCAUCUCCUUCUGCCUCUUUUCUGAAUGGACAGCAGAUUUGGGGUGAAAGUCGAUGUAACUUUAGACCAUAAUCAAACAUCUAAUGAGUGCUGUUCAAAUAAAGAGGAGUUACAGGAGAAAAUUAAAGAAAACGUAUAAUUAGCUUAAUUUCAGAUGAGUAAAACUUAAAUACAGGGAAAACUCGGUGAACCCAAAUGCACCUUACAGGUUGGCAGUGCAAUUCAUUUCAAGCCAACGACCUCCCUGCUCUCCCUUUGGUGCUGUGGGAAGGUCUGUUGUGGGUGAUGCAGGAGGUAGGCAGUGCACUUCUUGCUCUCCACCUUUGGAAAUGCUUUGUAAAUUGGAGGAAAAUAUGGAACUACUAUGGAAAAUAUGUGUGGAGCAGAAGGGCCCCACAUUCUCCACACUGAUUGUGGCCUUUAGUCACAAGCCAACAAGGAGCUGAUGAACCUAAACCUCAUAUUUCUGAGUGAUACUGAAGAGUUUUUCAUUCAGAGGAGUUCACAGGGCCACAGCAACAGUGUGGAAGUGAUGGACUGCAACUUCAUACCUCUAAAAACAAAGAACGCCGCAUAGCCCGGUGUGUCUUACUGAUGGAUGGCAGCAAAGAGAUUGAGUCAUUAGUGCCAAAUCAGCACAAAUACUUGAACAGAAGAAAUAAAUAGCUUCUGACCUCACCUGCACAUUUGUUACAAUGCAUCAGGAAGCAUUCCUGACACAUCUGUGGAGCUGACUUGUGGGAGGUGCAGAACACGAAGAAGUGGUGAGCAGUCAUUGAAGUCAACUGACAGGUGUCAUACGCUGGAAAGUCAUUACGCAGAGGAACGCAGGAGGCGGGCCCGUGAGUCGUGUGAAAUUGGAGGAAUGGAGAGCAUGCAGUCACAAUCACCAGCCCUGCCACUCUGCCAGGGAGCAGGACUGAACUGACUUUUGGCCCCUCUCGGAAGCAGCACAGUGUGCUCAGUUUAGAGUCCUCUGCUCAGGUAACAUGCCAACCCACGUCACUGUCGUAGAAAUAAGAGACAGCGGGGUUGGAGAGAAUGUCAAGAGGUUGUCCAAGGCAGCCACCUGUCCCAUGACAGGACUCACCUCUGCCUGAAGCAUUUCCAACAGAUACUUACGUCCUGAUGUUUUAUUGAUUUCACUUCAAUCUCAUUGCUGCUUCCUGAACCGCUUACAUUUCCUAACAAGCGUAGUACAAAACCAGACCUGCUACUUCAGCUGAUGCCUCACCAGAGCUGAACGGUUAUUUUACAUCACGUAGAUGACAAUGUUUAUACACCACCAUGUAUCUGUCCCAUUGUGCAGCACCACAGUGUUGUUAGAACACGUCACCAAACAAACACAAACCACCUACCUGACAUUUUUCUGCCCAGCUGACCUCUAAUUCCUUUGUCCAAUAUCUCAAGAUGGUUUGGACUCCUAUGCAUGCUGUGAUCUUGAACAUGAGCUAUUUUUCAUACUUGUGUUAAUAAGCAGAAGACUCAUCUCACCCGCAGACUGGUCCAAAGUUUCAAAAAGCAGAGAUCAAGUCAACAAUAGAAUCAAGUAAUUCUUAGUUCUGCUGAAAUCUAUCAGAAAAGUUCUUGCAACUUCCAACAACACAAAGAUGUGAUCCACCAGAACAGAUUGACAGACUGGAUAUCUUGGUUUUAUUUUUGUCAGAGCCAAGCAUGCUAAGUCAAGAUCAGAGACAUGCACAGCAUGCCAUACAAACUAAACUGCUCGUUGGCAAUGACAUUUUGCAUAUGCGUCCUACAAUCCAUCAAUUGCUGCUUAUAUGUGGUUGUUUGGUAUUCUUUUCUGUACCUUUCAAAAAAUAAAAAGCCAAG